GACUGUGGCCUGCUCACCUGCUAGUUGGCAUCUCUUAUAGGUCUGUCUGUCUACCUAUCUUGGGAUUGGAAGCACUUUUCUCUCUGCAAACUCCACUCCCCCCCCCCAAAUCCUUGUUUUUUUAAAGUUUUGAAAAAUAGGCACUCAUAGUUUUCUUCCUGGAGUUUCCUUUGGCUGCAACUGUUUUAGCCAAGACGGAAGCUCACUAUCCUUCUCAUACCCCCACCCUACUAUUACUUUAAAAUAAUUUGCAUCUCUGUGGGUUUUUUUUUUUUUUUUUUUUUGCUUUGUUUUUGUUUGUUUUCGGCUGCUUCUCCUCCCUCUAGGAGCUAAGACUUCUUUUCAGGCUCCACCUGGGCCUGGGGUUGGGGUUGACUUCAUAGUCUUCACUUUCUUUUUUUGACCUAACUUGAAAGAUGUCCGACUGCCUCUCCCUAGGGACUCUAUCUAGGCGAUGGAUUCCUUAAAAGAAGGGAGAAACUCUGGCUUUUACUGUGAGAGCCUGGAUAAUGUCCAAAGGCACAUGGCCUCUGGAAACUUAAAAUAAAAAGCUCAACAGCGAUUUCCAAAGACAGGGAAAAGGCUCAACCUGCAAGAUUAGGUCGACGUCUUUCAUAAUUAUUUUCUAUUAAAAACUUUCCCGGAAAUGUGUUCAUGACACCAGCCGGAGCCUCUUUUCUCUAGGGGUACUGGCCAGCUCUAGUAUUGUUAUGCUCCGCAAGGAUAAUUUCCUUCUGUGGCCUUUAGAAAAUAAUGGACGACUCGACUUUCUUGUUUUGACUAAACGAAACCUCUCUUGGAGAGACUGGAGUACGCAGAUCGAACCUAGAAAUUGUACUCUCCUCAAGAUCCGCUUGAGAGAAUCUGACUGAUGGCUUUGGUCUGAGAGUUCAGACAUCUCUUGUGAUACUAAGAAAGAUUCCUUUUCCAUUUGCUGGAUCCUCCUGUUUUGUCAUCCCUGAGUCCUGUAAGAAGCUCAUCAGGAGGUCCCCUGCGCUGGAAGGACCAUGUGAGUUCAUCCCAGACGAUGGGUGGCACCAUGGUUUUAGCAGCUCACACAAUGGAGAACCACAUUCUCUCUGGAAGAGCUUGGCAACAUGUAUUUGGUAAACACAGCAAGGUCAGCUUGAGCUCUAUUCUUCUGUGGCCGUUCUGAACACGAGAGAGAGAGAGAGAGAGAGAGACAGAGACAGAGACAGAGACAGAGACAGAGACAGAGACAGAGAUAUAGACAGGGAGAGGCAGAGAGAGACAGAAACAGAGAAAUGAUUCCUGAAUUAUUUUUUUAAAAUUAAUUUUAAAAU
This 1304-nucleotide long non-coding RNA is filed under the name Mus pahari (shrew mouse). Its description in RNAcentral is "lncRNA (MGP_PahariEiJ_G0012435.1)". The record is from RNAcentral. Lineage: Eukaryota; Metazoa; Chordata; Mammalia; Rodentia; Muridae.